AGCUUUGUGCAGUGGCAGUAUCAUAGCCAAUGAGGUUUAUCCAAGGCGCGAUUAUUGCUAAUUGAAAGUACAUAAUCUGACUAUUAAGUGGAUUAUCUGCUGAGUACAAUCUGCAUAUUAUUUAAAUGUCCAUUUAAAGAUGUGCAUAUACUCUUUUAAUUAAUUUUAGCAUU
Molecule: small nuclear RNA, 173 nt
Organism: Heterocephalus glaber (naked mole-rat)
Lineage: Eukaryota; Metazoa; Chordata; Mammalia; Rodentia; Bathyergidae
Gene: U4
Rfam family: U4 spliceosomal RNA
About the family: U4 small nuclear RNA (U4 snRNA) is a component of the major U2-dependent spliceosome.
Source: Ensembl